GAGAAUGGCGCAUCCUUCUAGAGUCUCCAGUCGGUAAGCUCUCGACCCGUAGGUGUCCGCUAUCUUGUAGGGUCCUUCCCAGUUCGGAGCCAACUUUCUCUGGUCUAGAGGCUUCGAAACUUCUGCCUUUCUUAAGACUAGGUUCCCAGGCCUGAAAAGCUUCGACUUAACCUUAGCAUUGUAGUACCGGGCUACUCUC
RNAcentral lists this long non-coding RNA (199 nucleotides) under Elaeis guineensis (African oil palm). RNAcentral describes it as "long non-coding RNA (EGUI_LNC080074)". The record is from RNAcentral. Lineage: Eukaryota; Viridiplantae; Streptophyta; Magnoliopsida; Arecales; Arecaceae.